UCCAGCAGCCAUAUCACUCUGCAACUCACAACUGGCAGCCCACUGAAGCUCAGCAGGUGUGAGCCUGGUCAGUACCCGGAUGGGAGACCUCCUGGGAAAAACUAAGGUUGCCGCGGGAA
This 119-nucleotide ribosomal RNA is filed under the name Lepisosteus oculatus (spotted gar). The record is from RNAcentral. Lineage: Eukaryota; Metazoa; Chordata; Actinopteri; Semionotiformes; Lepisosteidae.